AGAGUACUGCGGAGGACAUUAUCGAGUUUUUGUGAAGGGUUGUAGCUCUCGUGUGCACGCCCGGAUCAUCCACUUACACCUGUGCACUUUUUGCGGGAGGGAGAAAUCCCGACCGCGUCUCUCACACACACACACAAUUAACAAAAGGAAAACAGCGCAGGGCGAAUUUAUUAAAACAAUUUUCAACAACGGAUCCCUUGGUUCUCGCACCAAUGAAAAACGCACCGAAAUGCAAAAAUAAAGGUGAAUUGCAAAAUUCAGGGAACCACCAAAUCUUUGAACGCACCUUGCGCUCCUUGGAAUUCCAAGGAGCAGGCCGGUUUGAGGGCCAUGAACAUAUCAACUCGAAAAAUUUUAUUUUUCCAAGUUGGGACUUGGAGGCCUUUGCCGGCGAUCGUCGGCUCCUCUCAAAUGCAUUAACUGGGCUUUAGCUCAGGGGAUCAAUCGGUGUGAUAAUUAUCUGCGCCGCUCUGCCCCUGGAUCCGCUUACAGUCGUCCCCCCGGGAGAAUUUUUCAUCAUCUGACCUCAAAUCACGUAUGACUACCCCCUGAACUUAUACAUAUCAAA
Molecule: ribosomal RNA, 568 nt
Filed under: Hymenochaete rheicolor
Lineage: Eukaryota; Fungi; Basidiomycota; Agaricomycetes; Hymenochaetales; Hymenochaetaceae
Description: eukaryotic LSU rRNA
Rfam family: 5.8S ribosomal RNA (bases 178-331)
Source: RNAcentral